ACUGCUCAGUAACACGUGGACAACCUGCCCUUAGGUUGGGUAUAAACCCGGGAAACUGGGUAUAAUACCCGAUAGGUCUCGAUUGCUGGAAUGCAUCGAGAUUUAAAGCUCCGGCGCCUAAGGAUGGGUCUGCGGCCUAUCAGGUAGUAGUGGGUGUAGCGUACCUACUAGCCUACGACGGGUACGGGUUGUGAGAGCAAGAGCCCGGAGAUGGAUUCUGAGACACGAAUCCAGGCCCUACGGGGUGCAGCAGGCGCGAAAACUUUACAAUGCUGGCAACAGCGAUAAGGGAACCUCGAGUGCCAGGUUACAAAUCUGGCUGUCGAGAUGCCUAAAAAGCAUUUCAUAGCAAGGGCCGGGCAAGACCGGUGCCAGCCGCCGCGGUAACACCGGCGGCUCGAGUGGUAACCGUUAUUAUUGGGUCUAAAGGGUCUGUAGCCGGCCGGAUAAGUCUCUUGAGAAAUCUGGCAGCUUAACUGUCAGGCUUUCAGGAGUUACUGUCUGGCUCGAGGCCGGGAGAGGUGAGAGGUACUUCAGGGGUAGGGGUGAAAUCUUGUAAUCCUUGAAGGACCACCAGUGGCGAAGGCGUCUCACCAGAACGGACCUGACGGCAAGGGACGAAAGCUAGGGGCACGAACCGGAUUAGAUACCCGGGUAGUCCUAGCCGUAAACGAUACUCGCUAGGUGUCGGCCACGGUGCGACCGUUGUCGGUGCCGUAGGGAAGCCGUGAAGCGAGCCACCUGGGAAGUACGGCCGCAAGGCUGAAACUUAAAGGAAUUGGCGGGGGAGCAC
Molecule: ribosomal RNA, 793 nt
Filed under: uncultured archaeon
Lineage: Archaea
Description: bacterial SSU rRNA
Rfam family: Archaeal small subunit ribosomal RNA
Source: RNAcentral